RNAcentral lists this long non-coding RNA (1443 nucleotides) under Homo sapiens (human). Its description in RNAcentral is "HSALNT0321969". The record is from RNAcentral. Lineage: Eukaryota; Metazoa; Chordata; Mammalia; Primates; Hominidae.
CCCUGAAUUAUACGACCAAUUUGCAUUCUACUAGUGAUUUUGAUGAGAGAUGAGAGGAAAACUCCAUUUCCCUUAAGGAGUGCAUGUUACUGGGGAGGUAUGGUUUGAAAAGGUUCUCAAAGUGAUUAUGUUGUAUUCACCUCUGUGACUCUGUGAAGAGGACAUCCCUCUUGAGAAUCAUUACUUAACGCCAAGGAGAUUCCUCUUCUGUUCAAAGACCCUUCCAUGUGCUCCUGCAGCCUUAGACAUGUGCCAUUCAUCACUUUAGGGAAAGAUUAUUGGAGCCAAACCGGAAGACAAAGAGCUUCAGUAGUAUGGUGAUAUUUUAUCUGUGGUACCAGUGGUGUUUCCUUGAUAUGUUGGUGAUGGUGGUGAGAGGAAGAGUCAUGCCUGGAAAGUCUGCAGAACAAAACUGCCAGGUGACAAUGAGCAAAAGGAAAAAAAGGAGCCUCAAUUGAAAGAGGCCUUCACCAAGGAAAAGCCAGUUGAGGUGUUCAAGCUCCAUCCAAGGUUAAUCCAACUAUUGCUAUCUAAAGAUUAACCUAUUUACUUUAUGAAGAAGUAUAUGAAGUUCAUGCAUCCCAUAGUUCUUCCAUAUAAAUGAUGACACAAGAAGUCACCCAGCACAUGAUAAGCAGAAUUGCAUUGAGAAUUUAUACAUCCUUAGCUUCUUCUGUGACGUUGAUCUGUGGUAUAGUAGACAUUUAGUCUUACUCGUGUUUAAUCCUGAUAAAAGAGCCCUGGAACCAAAACAAAUUUGAACCUCACUUGGUAAGUUGAGUUUGCUUUGGGCUUGUUCCAUUCAAUCCUAAUAAGUUUAACCUUAAUAAAAUCUUGAAGUGUAUCCUGUACAAGUCUAGCAAAUUGACAGCUAAACAUGUGUUCCCAAUUCCUCUUUCAGUGUAUUCUGAUUCUCAGCGCUGCUUUUCCUUCUUUUCUAGAUGCCUCCUUAACUCUAUGUUAUUCUCAGCUACCCAAUUCUUGUAUUAAAUUAAUUAAUUGUAUUUAAUUUAGAUCAAUUGUAUAGCCAAAGAGAAAAGCUGAAAUCUCCCAGUCAUUAUAUUUCUUGGCCACAGGAGUUGCCAUGUUCUCUACUAAAUGUAUUAUUCAUACAUAGCAGGAAUAAGUGAAACCAUAAAGAGCAAAGUAGCAAUGAAUAGAAAUUUGGAAGAUCAGAGAAGAUUGCAAUAAUCCAGAACCACCUUCACAAUAACUUUCGUAAGUUUUUUAAGAGUAAUCAGAAAUUUUUAAAGAUAAUUUGUUAAAAUCUGGAGAAUUAUGUGACUCAAAGCGUGAAACAAUCUGUGCAAAUUUUUUUAAUCACUUAACUGGAGGAUUCUGGGAUAGAAUGCAGAAUGUGAAAAAAUUAUCUAAAUGUAUUACAAAUGUACAAAACAACCUCAGUCUUAGGGGUGUAGAAAAACUGUGUUGAUCUAAAUAACU